This 484-nucleotide ribosomal RNA is filed under the name uncultured bacterium. RNAcentral describes it as "partial 16S ribosomal RNA". It matches the Rfam family "Bacterial small subunit ribosomal RNA", at positions 29 to 507 of the family's 1533-position model. The record is from RNAcentral.
AUUGAACGCUGGCGGCAGGCCUAACACAUGCAAGUCGAGCGGAUGAAGGGAGCUUGCUCCUGGAUUCAGCGGCGGACGGGAGUGUCAUGCCUAGGACUCUGCCUGGUCGUGGGGGAUAACGUCCGGAAACGGGCGCUAAUCCCGCAUACGUCCUGUGGGGGAAAGUGGGGGGUCUUCGGACCCCACGCCAUCAGAUGAGCCUAGGUCGGAUUAGCUAGUUGGUGGGGUAGAGGCCUACCAAGGCGACGAUCCGUAACUGGUCUGAGAGGAUGAUCAGUCACACUGGGACUGAGACACGGUCCAGAGACCUACGGGAGGCAGCAGUGGGGAAUGUUGGACGAUGGGGGAAAGCUUGAACCAGCCGUGCCGGGUGUGUGAAGAAGGUCUUCGGAUGGGAAAGCACUUUAAGGUGUGAGGAAGGGCAGUAAGUGAAUACCUGGUUUUUGUGACGGUACCAACAGAAGAAGCACCGGCUAACUUCGUG